Molecule: ribosomal RNA, 466 nt
Filed under: Vreelandella stevensii
Lineage: Bacteria; Pseudomonadati; Pseudomonadota; Gammaproteobacteria; Oceanospirillales; Halomonadaceae
Description: partial 16S ribosomal RNA
Rfam family: Bacterial small subunit ribosomal RNA
Source: RNAcentral
CCUACGGGGGGCAGCAGUGGGGAAUAUUGGACAAUGGGCGAAAGCCUGAUCCAGCCAUGCCGCGUGUGUGAAGAAGGCCUUCGGGUUGUAAAGCACUUUCAGUGGGGAAGAAAGCCUUGGGGCUAAUACCCUCGAGGAAGUACAUCACCCACAGAAGAAGCACCGGCUAACUCCGUGCCAGCAGCCGCGGUAAUACGGGAGGGUGCGAGCGUUAAUCGGAAUUACUGGGCGUAAAGCGCGCGUAGGCGGUCUGAUAAGCCGGUUGUGAAAGCCCCGGGCUCAACCUGGGAACGGCAUCCGGAACUGUCAGGCUAGAGUGCAGGAGAGGAAGGUAGAAUUCCCGGUGUAGCGGUGAAAUGCGUAGAGAUCGGGAGGAAUACCAGUGGCGAAGGCGGCCGUCUGGACUGACACUGACGCUGAGGUGCGAAAGCGUGGGUAGCAAACAGGAUUAGAUACCCUUGUAGUC